UACGGGGGGGGUAAGCGUUGUUCGGAAUUACUGGGCGUAAAGGGCUCGUAGGCGGCCAACUAAGUCAUACGUGAAAUCCCUCAGCUUAACUGGGGAACUGCGUGUGAUACUGGAUGGCUUGAGUGUGGGAGAGGGAUGCGGAAUUCCAGGUGUAGCGGUGAAAUGCGUAGAUAUCUGGAGGAACACCGGUGGCGAAGGCGGCAUCCUGGACCAUUACUGACGCUGAGGCACGAAAGCGUGGGUAGCAAACAGG
Molecule: ribosomal RNA, 253 nt
Filed under: uncultured bacterium
Lineage: Bacteria
Description: partial 16S ribosomal RNA
Rfam family: Bacterial small subunit ribosomal RNA
Source: RNAcentral